This 253-nucleotide ribosomal RNA is filed under the name uncultured bacterium. RNAcentral describes it as "partial 16S ribosomal RNA". It matches the Rfam family "Bacterial small subunit ribosomal RNA", at positions 524 to 776 of the family's 1533-position model. The record is from RNAcentral.
CACGUAGGGUGCGAGCGUUGUCCGGAAUUAUUGGGCGUAAAGAGCUCGUAGGCGGUGUGUCGCGUCGGCCGUGAAAACCUGCAGCUUAACUGUGGGCUUGCGGUCGAUACGGGCAUCACUGGAGUUCGGCAGGGGAGACUGGAAUCCUGGUGUAGCGGUGAAAUGCGCAGAUAUCAGGAGGAACACCGGUGGCGAAGGCGGGUCUCUGGGCCGAUACUGACGCUGAGGAGCGAAAGCGUGGGGAGCGAACAGG